Molecule: ribosomal RNA, 273 nt
Filed under: uncultured bacterium
Lineage: Bacteria
Description: partial 16S ribosomal RNA
Rfam family: Bacterial small subunit ribosomal RNA
Source: RNAcentral
GAUGAACGCUAGCGGGAGGCCUAACACAUGCAAGCCGAGCGGUAUUGUUUCUUCGGAAAUGAGAGAGCGGCGUACGGGUGCGGAACACGUGUGCAACCUGCCUUUAUCUGGGGGAUAGCCUUUCGAAAGGAAGAUUAAUACUCCAUAAUAUAUUGAACGGCAUCGUUUAAUAUUGAAAGCUCCGGCGGAUAGAGAUGGGCACGCGCAAGAUUAGCUAGUUGGUGAGGAACGGCUCACCAAGGCGAUGAUCUUUAGGGGGCCUGAGAGGGGUGA